GUCCAGCCUUCCCAAACCCUGCAGGAAAACUGCAAUUCCAGGAUUCCUGGUGUUCCAAGCAAGUCUCCUUUGCCCCUCUGGAUGUGACUUGGGAAGCCUGACUGUGGUUUUUAAUCUAAAUUAAAUCUAAAUCAGAGAUUUGCUCCCUGUGGGAUGUCUUUGCUCCAGUCUCGGGAAGACCAAAAAUUUCAUUCCUUGCCCAAUCGAGUCAAAUUCUGAGAGACCAAACAAUUAAAUUUAAUAAUUCUUAACAUGUUCCCUGCUUUUUCUGCCUGUUGGUGUCAGGUAGGGGCACAGCUGCGAUGCCAGGGAGCUGCUCAGCCUCUUCCAUCCCUGCUUUUCCUGCUUUUCCUGGCAUUCCCAGCCUGGCCUUUGCCGCUCUUUUGGAGUCGCCGCGCGGAGAGCUAAGAAUAGAAACCUCCUCAAAAUGCAAUUCAGCAUCUUACCUUCCUGCCUGCGAAUCUUUCAGUGAUGAACUUAACAAAAAAAAAAACCCUCCCCGGGGCUCGGGGUGGUGUGGGAAGAAGGAAAGGGGGGGGUGGGAAGAAGGAAGGGGGCGUGGAAAACUCGCCGGGAAUUUCCCGGCGCCCGAAAUAUCAGUUUGUUCUGGUGGCCCCGGGGCUGCGAAAUCGCUGCUCCCCGAGCACCCAAAGCGGGCUGGGACGGGGAUGGCACGGCCAGGGGGGAAUUUUCCCGCUGUUUUCUUCCUCCUGCUGGUUGCUGUUCCCGAUUCCCGGGGGUUGGAAUGCAGGGAACACCAAUAUCCGUACCGGGAUAAAUGCUGCAGCGACUGUGCCCCGGGGGAGAGGAUGAGGAACCGCUGCACGGCCAUGGCAGACACGGAGUGUAUCCCCUGCCAGGAUGAAUAUUUCAGCAGUGAGCACCACCACAGCUUCUGCAACAGCUGCACAGUCUGCAACACCAAGAGAGGGAGCGUGGAGGUGAAGAAGUGUGAGAAGACCUCGGACAGGGUGUGCGUGUGCCGGGCAGGGUUCAUGCCAGCUGGGCUGCCCCUGGGAAGUGGUGAGUCAGGGAUCAGAGAAUCAUAGAAUCAGCUGGGUUGGAAGGGACCUCUGAGAUCAU
RNAcentral lists this long non-coding RNA (1083 nucleotides) under Manacus vitellinus (golden-collared manakin). Its description in RNAcentral is "lncRNA (ENSMVIG00005020004.1)". Lineage: Eukaryota; Metazoa; Chordata; Aves; Passeriformes; Pipridae. The record is from RNAcentral.